Molecule: long non-coding RNA, 922 nt
Organism: Drosophila albomicans
Lineage: Eukaryota; Metazoa; Arthropoda; Insecta; Diptera; Drosophilidae
Exons: 3
Source: RefSeq, a predicted model, not a curated record
ACUUCUCUUAUAUUAAAUAUUACUACUAUAAUGCAACAAGCAUGAUAACAACAAUACUAAAGAAAUCCAUAAACAAUUAUUUACUAAAAGAGAAGACUUUUAUCUUCACAUCGCAUUAAUUUGGGAUCUAUGACGCAUUAUAAUAAUUUGGCGUCUUUCCAUACACAAUUCUUAUUAUUAUUUUCAACAUGAUAUUAAACAAUUCAUAAGCGUGUAAUUUCGUUUACCACAAAAAAAAAUGCAAAAUCGAAAAUAAAUGUCUGCCGUUGAUUUUUGACAUCCAAAUUGCAGCAAACAAAACUUGAAGGCGGACCCCACAAAAAAAAACAGAGACUGUAUGCUUCUGUUGUUGUGUUCUUUUCUUUAAUAAUACACUGAAAAUACUUUUUUAACUGCAUGGAUAUUAUAAAGCAUCAGUCACGACACGAUACCUCAUCAUGCUGCACUUUUCGGUGUUGUUGCCCCUCAUUGUGGCAUGAGAAAAUCUUUCAACGGCAAAUUGUAAAACAUUUUCGCCAAAGGUUUGAGCUAUAUUUCAGGGAAUAGAAACCUCAGCAGAAAUUAAAACAAAAAGCGAGAGAAAAUGGAAGAAGAAACGAAAUGAAUCACAAAGAAAAACGAAGUUAAUAAUGCGAAGCAACUGCUGCAUAAAUUAUCAAAACAAUCGGAAUAAAGUAAAAACAAAAUAAUGCCAGAGAAGAGAUGAAAUAAAAAUUGGAUGGAUCUUAGGAAUCUCAAAAAAAGAAAAACAAAAAACAAAUCAAUGACCUAUGCCCCCAGACUCUCGGCGACAAAGACUUUGUAAGACAUGCUUGUCGAUGUUGUUGUUGCUGUUGCUAUUGCUGUUGUUGUGUGGUGUUAUUUAUGUUGCUCGAUGCGGCCAUACUAAUUUCAAAUUUAAAUCUUUCUCUGUGACCUUUCA